RNAcentral lists this long non-coding RNA (559 nucleotides) under Brassica napus (rape). RNAcentral describes it as "long non-coding RNA (BNAP_LNC020361)". The record is from RNAcentral. Lineage: Eukaryota; Viridiplantae; Streptophyta; Magnoliopsida; Brassicales; Brassicaceae.
UAACAUACCGGCGGCGGAGUUUGGCAAACGAGAUUUCAGAUUUGAAAAAAGGAAGCGGAUGGUCAGUUUAAACUACGAAAAUACUCUACGGCAUGAAUGAGAAACGAGAUUCGUCGUAAUCGGAGAGAUUACCGGCGAAGAGAACAGGGGAACACGAUCACGGUAGGGUUUUCGUUUUAUCGCCUUCGAAAUCGCCCUUGGAGAGAAACGGUGCUAGGGUUUCGUAAAGUUGUGAAAAAGUCAAAAAAUAGUUUUUAUAUGUUCGGUAAAUGAUCUGGUUAGGUUAAAACGUACAUUGGUAAAAUUAAAGGUUCGGUACGAUGUGGACGACUGAAAUAUAAGUCGUCUGGGUAAAAUUAUUCACCAGAAGACUGAAAUAUAAGUCGUCCACAUCCUAAACAUAACCCCUAAACUUAAUUAUCUAAUUAAACAUUUCAUAAAAUCAAAUCAAACUUGAAAAGUGGUUACUAUACACAGAAAGAAACACAUAUAGGUGAAAAUUAAUUUUUGAAAAAAACAUUUUAGCUUUCCAAAAUCUAACCUUAAGAAUACAUACAAU